GUCGCCCAAGAAAAGAGUUAGUUCCAAUUUAUGCGAGUGAUUUAGUCUUCCAAAAAACAGUUAACACUGUUCCAUCGGUUGGCAUCACUGUUCCAUUGAUUUCAUCUGUGAAUACUGUUCCAUUGGCUCAACCAGUCUCAGAUUCACAAGGCACAAUGGUACAAGCAACUACUGUUCCAUUGGCUCAACCAGUCUCAGAUUCACAAGGCACAAUGUUACAAGCAACUACUGUUCCAUUGGCUCAACCAACUCCAGAUCCACAACCAUCUAAUGUCUCUAUGUUACAAACAGCUCCUGUCAGAAGUAUUGUACAUCCAGUCAUACCUAUGGAAGGCUCAAAGGAGAAGGAAAAUGGGGAAAAG
Molecule: long non-coding RNA, 362 nt
Filed under: Nicotiana benthamiana
Lineage: Eukaryota; Viridiplantae; Streptophyta; Magnoliopsida; Solanales; Solanaceae
Description: long non-coding RNA (NBEN_LNC028057)
Source: RNAcentral